Molecule: ribosomal RNA, 558 nt
Filed under: uncultured bacterium
Lineage: Bacteria
Description: bacterial SSU rRNA
Rfam family: Bacterial small subunit ribosomal RNA
Source: RNAcentral
AAUAGAUACCCCGGUAGUCCACGCCGUAAACGAUGGAUGCUAGCUAUUGGGGGGAAUCGACCCCCUCCGAAGCGAAGCUAACGCGUUAAGCAUCCCGCCUGAGUAGUACGAGCGCAAGCUUAAAACUCAAAGGAAUUGACGGGGACCCGCACAAGCGGUGGAGCGUGUGGUUUAAUUCGAUGGUAAACGAAGAACCUUACCAAGGUUUGACAUCCUGGUAGCCGUUCUCCGAAAGGAGAAUUUCAUUUAGUUGGACCGGUGACAGGUGAUGCAUGGCCGUCGUCAGCUCGUGUCGUGAGAUGUUGGGUUAAGUCCCGCAACGAGCGCAACCCUUAUGAUUUAGUUGGAUUUUUCUAAACAGACUGCCCUGGUAACAGGGAGGAAGGAGGGGAUGAUGUCAGGUCAGUAUUUCCCUUACACCUUGGGCGACACACGCGCUACAAUGGCCGGUACAAUGGGCAGCUAAGCCGCGAGGUGGAGCAAAUCCCAUCAAAGCCGGUCCCAGUUCGGAUUGCAGGCUGAAACCCGCCUGCAUGAAGCCGGAAUCGCUAGUAACCG